Molecule: ribosomal RNA, 376 nt
Filed under: uncultured bacterium
Lineage: Bacteria
Description: bacterial SSU rRNA
Rfam family: Bacterial small subunit ribosomal RNA
Source: RNAcentral
UUGGUGACCUGCCUCGAAGUUUGGGAUUAACAAGUUCGAAAGGACUGCUAAUACCGGAUGUGAUCGCGGAGAUUAGAGGCUCUGUUGAUUAAAGGAGAAAUUCGCUUCGAGAGGGGCCUGCGUCCCAUCAGCUAGUUGGUAAGGUAAAGGCUUACCAAGGCGAUGACGGGUAGGGGACCUGAGAGGGUGGCCCCCCACAAUGGAACUGAAACACGGUCCAUACACCUACGGGUGGCAGCAGUAGGGAAUAUUGCAUAAUGGGCGAAAGCCUGAUGCAGCAACGCGCGUGUGCGAUGAAGGCCUUCGGGUCGUAAAGCACUUUUGGAGGGGAUGAGGAAGGACAGUACCCUUCGAAUAAGCUUCGGCUAACUACGUG